RNAcentral lists this long non-coding RNA (4959 nucleotides) under Sus scrofa (pig). RNAcentral's name for it is "lncRNA (ENSSSCG00015037491.1)". Lineage: Eukaryota; Metazoa; Chordata; Mammalia; Artiodactyla; Suidae. The record is from RNAcentral.
UUUUUAUUUUUUAUUUUUUUUUUAAGGAAGGCGAGAGCCUUCAAAGGUAAGAGUGCUUAGAACCCAUGAAAGUCAUAGCAAAGCUCUGCUCAGGGCAUAUUAUGGUGCCUGUUACGGGGCCAUAGAGAAAGGGUCCCUGCCUCUCCUCUCUGCUCACUCCAGGUUCUUAGUAAUUGGGCACCCCAGAGGAUUCCUUGCCACCAGUGCCGCACCAGCAGAGCUGCUGGGAGCUCUGGGCACUAGGCUUCUGUAGUGUGUAUAUAUUUAUUGUGCUAAAACAUUAGCAGCUAUACAUAUUUUUUGAGCAGCUGAAGUGCUGGGCUCCAUACAGAUUCUCAAUAGGCAAUUCCUUUUUGUCCUCUAGGAGGCCAUAAUCUAUUAAAGGCAAGAUAGAGAGAGACAUCACUGAAAGAAGAGGGAGAGGUGUGCCAGUAGAGGAAAAAUGACAGAAACAAAAUCUGCCCUGCCUCACUUCUCAGAGUGAACACGAAGAGAAGCAGGGGCUGUGUCUCCCCUCAGACCAGGGGUCCUUGAGGCAGGGCUGUGUCUCCCCUCAGACUGGGGCUCCCUGAGGCUCCUCUGGGCUCUCAGAGAGUUUUGUCAAUAUUUUCAGUCUCUGGACCCUAGGACUCAGUUCGUUCUCCAGGAGAGCCAGCCAACAAAAUGUACACUGGGCGCUAGCUGAACAGUAGGCUGAGUCACUUUAUUAUCAAACACUUAACAUCCGAGAAAGCAUGGGGAGCUAACCCCAGAGUUUUUUGGGGGGUGAGUCCCUUACCUGAUGUGUCAGAGUGCUCCCAGAAUUACAGCACAAGCAGGUGAGAGCUCAGGGCGCUGCCUGCUCCUGAGCAGAGUCUUUCACACUGGCCCAGGGGGGAAUGUAAACAUCUCUUCCUCUCCUACCAUCACUUGGUCUCAGGAUUCAGGAGGUUGCCGCUCUGGGGCAGGGACUUGCAUCUUCCGAUGUGGAUGCAAGAAGCAGAUCAGUGCUUGGUUGAGGCAGUGAGUUUUGUGUUUCUCCUGGGGCUUAGUGUUCAGCAAGCAAGUGCUGCCCUUGAGACCCCAACUCAACCAGCCUCACGUAGGGUGAAAAAAAAAAUCAUUAUUCUUAUCAUCAGGAGAUCAGGGUGAACUUGGAGCGGAAAGGGAGUCGCCCUGCCACAAAGCAACCAUAGCCUGCCACAUCACUCCUCCUGGGCUACCCCAAAAGUACAUGGGAAGGGAAUUUGAGAGCAAGGCAUCUCUGAAUCCUCUUCCAGACCUCAUCUUUCCUGAUCCUAUUCUUGCCCCAACAGUUAAAAAGAUCAAAUAAAUCAAAUGUUAAAUUAUUAAUGGCUGAUUGGGUUAACUGAGAAUUCCGCACUGCCUUAACCAGGGAACUGAAUCCUAAUGAAAUUUUAAGCACUAUCCUCUGACUUGUGGGAGUGGUAUUUGGAGAGAUGGCAAGGCCAAGGAGCGUCUAAUUGUUUCUCCUAAUUCACAUCACAUAAGUGCCUCCUACCUUUUGACAUAAAGCAGAGCCAGAAAGGAUGAAUGGCUCUGGCUUAAGUUCCCAUAUGGAUGGAGGCUCCCUAGACCAGUGAAGGAGGAUUCAGUUUACUGCUGAAGGAGGGAAAUAGGGCAACUUCCUGCUGUAGUUGGGAGGAGAAGGGGGGAAGUCAAGUUGGAGAGUUGGGAGGGCAAUCAAGUCAACCAGCUCUUCCUUAACACCCAGCGUUGCACUCUACGUCUAUGGGCUGACAGUACAGAGUCUCCUGGUUGUCCUCUAAUAUACAUUCUCUUCUCAGUCCUAGUAAGAAUCCUCAAGUGUUACUUGGACAAAAGGCAAUGCAGAAUAAAGACUACAUUUCCCAGCCUCCUUUGCACCUAGGUGGGGUCAUAUGACUAAGUUUUAGCCAAUGAGACGUAAGUAAUACCUUAGAGGAGUCCUUUAAGAAAGGAUGCAUCCUUCUUUGCCUCUCCCUCUUUCCUAGUGACUAGAAUGUGGAUUCAUGGACAGAACUUGAACAGCCAUCUUCAUCCAUGAAUGGUUNGGUGCAAAAUGACAAAAUAGAAGCAACCUGGGCACCUGGUGAUCAUGGCACCACCGCAUAUCACUGAACUUCCUAAAGUUUUUGUUUUAAUUAUAACUUAAAAAAAAUAGUUUAAGAUUCAUUAGUAGUUCAAAAAUAGUGAGAGUUCCCAUAGACUCUUCAAUCCACUUUCCCCUGUGAUAACAUCUCAUAUAGCCAUAGUACAUUAUGAAAGCAAGAAGCUGACAUUGUUAUAAAGCUAUUCACUUAAAUAUAGACCUUGUUCCCUGAACUUUCUACAUGAGAGAGAAAUAAAAGUCUUUCUCAUUCAGGCUACUCAUUUUUGUUUUGUUUUGUUUUUUUAUCACUCACAAUUAAAUCAAUUUUUUUACUGACAUAAUUUCUGAAAAGUAUAAGGUAGCAUCCACAUCCAGGCUUCAUCUCUGAGAAAAGGACAUGGUAGGGAGAAGGAGAUGCUCCAGAUGCAGGGGAACAAUCAGACAAGCUUCAGGACAAUGGGGAUAAAUCCUUUUGAACAGUGAGAGGCAUCUUUCACUUUGAUGGUGAAAGGACGGUCCUCUCCUACCUCCUUGUUCCACCACUGACUGCAGCAGGCCUCCUCCCCCCAUGCCUAACUCUGUGCUCACCCUUCUCUUGCUGGACCUACGUCCACACCCACCUCUCACCUAUGCAGAGCUCUGCAUCCCCUGCUAAUUCAUGGAGACCUGAGAUGCUCAUUAGUGUUGCUGGCUCCUGGCCCAUCAAAGUCACAUGUCAGGAGAGGGGAGAAAAGGCAGGUGACAUUUGUUGGUAUUUUCACCUUGGGUGAAAACAAACAAAUUGCACUGGAGUUAAAUGUCAAAGGCUCCUGAGUGUUUGAAAUGGGAGGGAAGGGGGCAGGUCUCCUCUCCUCUUGGGGACAGCCUUCUCCAUGUCCCUGAGUGGAUAUGUGCGGAGAUGCAACAGUGUUGGAAGCCUACCAGGAAGGCCAAGUGGGCUGUGUUGGUCGAUGCCCAGCUUCAUCCCAGACUGGGAUGGCAGACUGAGCAGCCCCCAAGGGAGGACAAGCAUUCACCAUCCCUCCAUUCAUCCAGAGAACAGUGAGCACUUGCUACAUAGAAAAGACUCUACAAUAGGUGCUGAGGGGCAACCAGUCAUGAAACAAAUACCGCUGGUCCCUACUUCCUAGGAACAGGUCUCUCUUAGAGAAGACGGAAGAUAUAUAAACAUAGAGUGUAAGAAGAAAAUUUCUUACAUAUAGUGUUCUUUGGGUUCUCAGAUAAGGAAGAGGGUAGGAAAACCAGGGGUGCAUUUCAGAGACUUUGCCAUGGAGCCUGAAGGAUGGGCAGCAUUUAGAUAUGCACAGGUGUGGGAUGAAGGUUCCACUCAGAUCAAAGACAGCACCAAGGCAACGCCACCCACAUUACUAUUAGCUUUACUAUCAUUGCUCUCCCUGACCUGGAAGGAAGUAUACCUACGGAGCUGGACUCAUGUGAUGCAACCAGUCCAGGAGGGGUUUCUGGAGUCUAUGAACUUACUGGAAUGGGGUGCUCAAAUUUGUGUGAUCAAGCAUUUUUCUAGGAAAGACGUCCACAGUCUCCAUCAGAUUCUGCAAGAUAGAGGUGAUUUCCCCCAAAGUUGAGCCCCUCUUUUGGAAGCUGGCAAGAAGUAAGGCCUUGCUGAAUCUCUAAUCAUUACUUGUCUAAAUGAAUCCACUCUAUGAAGAGAGGUUGAAGAUUUAUAGAUGUGGCUCUUCCUAGACAAGCUCUAAUUCCUGAGACCUGCAUGACAGGCCUUAUCUGGGAAGAAUAAUCAGCCCCAGCUUGAGGGGGUGGGGCAGGCUGUAGGGAACUGGGUUGGGGGUGGGGUUAGGGCAAGCUCUUCCCCAGGGUAGCAGCUUAUGUCUCUGCUUACGUCCAGCCCUGUGGUGAUUGAAUUACCAGCCCCUUCACUUAAUGAGCAUCUCUCUGAACUGACCACGAGACCUGUGUUUGGGAGAGCAGACAUCUCAUUACCAGCAUUUAGUGAUGCUGUGUUGAUCCUGGUUUCCUGAUGAUUACAAGGAGCCAGAGUGUGCAGUAGCAUCCUUUUGUGCAGCUCACCUGUCCAAAACAUACGGGCCCUCUUCCACUCCCAGUCUCAUGUGCAGUGCUGUGUGACCAAGGGAGGCAAGAAACCCCUUCUAGAAGAUUCCAAAGUCUAAGAGGAAGGACUUGUGGGGAUGUGCCCUUGGGCCUGGACUCCUCUGGUUGCUGAGAAAUGAUAAGGAGACACAUUACUACUCCCUUCCAGACGGGGAUGAGCAAGAAAUCCACAGCCUGCUGGUGGACAAUCUUCCAGGAACCAUCACUCCUUGUCACUUUCUAAUGCAAUGAAAAGGAUAUUAUGGAUACCCCAGUUCCCUAUAGGGAUCGCCAGUAUCUUCCCUUCUACACAAGGAGAAACAGAGGCACAGGAAAGAGGUCAGGGGCAUUGGUAGAAGCCCCUGGGAGGACUUCUAAAGUGUCCAGUCUUACCUUCCCAGUGAAAGUCUUCUGGGGACAAAGGAUGAUGCACAGACCAGAUUUGCUGUGUAAUGUGACAAUGCAUGUGGGGGUUUUUCUAGGUCAGCCAUUUAACAUCCCUGGUUAUCAGUCAGCAUCAAGGCCAGAGUUAUGGUUGGUCAAUGGCAUAUGUCCAAGGCCACCCAAUCCUGGGUCCACCAUGCCUUCGACCUGCUCCCAUGAUACUGUUACCAUCCCAAGCUGACAAUGAUCCACAAUUAACCACAUGAGCUGUCCAAGACAUGACAGCCAGUAGUGUCACCAAGAUCAUAAUUUCCCAGUCCAAAUUCGUGAGUUCUGAGCCCAGGGGGAUUCUUGCCCCAGGGCAUCCUGAUGUGGGGGAGAGAGAGGUGCAUUUGGGUCUGUGGUGUUUGAGCACAACCCCCCCCCCAAUGCAACCCCCC